Molecule: ribosomal RNA, 253 nt
Filed under: uncultured bacterium
Lineage: Bacteria
Description: partial 16S ribosomal RNA
Rfam family: Bacterial small subunit ribosomal RNA
Source: RNAcentral
UACGGAGGGGGCAAGCGUUGUUCGGAAUCAUUGGGCGUAAAGGGCGCGUAGGCGGCCGUCCAAGUCGGGUGUGAAAUCCCUCGGCUCAACCGAGGAACUGCACUCGAUACUGGUUGGCUAGAGUCCGGGAGGGGAUGGUGGAAUUCCCAGUGUAGCGGUGAAAUGCGUAGAUAUUGGGAAGAACACCGGUGGCGAAGGCGGCCAUCUGGACCGGAACUGACGCUGAGGCGCGAAAGCCAGGGGAGCGAAUGGG